Molecule: non-coding RNA, 157 nt
Organism: Prunus avium (sweet cherry)
Lineage: Eukaryota; Viridiplantae; Streptophyta; Magnoliopsida; Rosales; Rosaceae
Source: RefSeq, a predicted model, not a curated record
AUUAUAUUUUACUUCCAAAUUUGGGAUAUAAAUUAGAUUAGAAGGCAAUACUAUGGAGACAAAGGGGAAAUUAACCUGCUAAGAUGAUGAAUCAAUCAGAAGAGGAAACACAUCAGCUGGAAGGCGUGGAAGACGAAGAAGAGACACUGAAGACUAA